This 242-nucleotide unclassified non-coding RNA is filed under the name Hevea brasiliensis (rubber tree). The record is from RNAcentral. Lineage: Eukaryota; Viridiplantae; Streptophyta; Magnoliopsida; Malpighiales; Euphorbiaceae.
GCAAAGUUGCACCAUGGUCAUUUAUCACAUGCAGAUGGCAAUGCGGAUUGGGUUUUAACUAUAUUUUCAGCACUAUCACUUGUAAUUGAUGUCCUGGAAUUUAUCCCUUCCCAUGUAGCGGUGGUGUUUGAUCAUGAUGGAGUUCCAUUCGAUCAUAAUUGUGUUUCAUUCAAAGAAAAUGUCAUGGCAAAAGGUUUGAAUUUUCGUCAUACUUUAUAUCCUUCAUACAAGAGCAACCGCCC